AGUGAACGCUGGCGGUAGGCCUAACACAUGCAAGUCGAACGACAGCACAGUAAGAGCUUGCUCUUACGGGUGGCGAGUGGCGGACGGGUGAGGAAUACAUCGGAAUCUACUUUUUCGUGGGGGAUAACGUAGGGAAACUUACGCUAAUACCGCAUACGACCUACGGGUGAAAGCAGGGGAUCUUCGGACCUUGCGCGAUUGAAUGAGCCGAUGUCGGAUUAGCUAGUUGGCGGGGUAAAGGCCCACCAAGGCGACGAUCCGUAGCUGGUCUGAGAGGAUGAUCAGCCACACUGGAACUGAGACACGGUCCAGACUCCUACGGGAGGCAGCAGAGGGGAAUAUUGGACAAUGGGCGCAAGCCUGAUCCAGCCAUACCGCGUGGGUGAAGAAGGCCUUCGGGUUGUAAAGCCCUUUUGUUGGGAAAGAAAAGCAGCAGGUUAAUACCCCGCUGUUCUGACGGUACCCAAAGAAUAAGCACCGGCUAACUUCGUG
This 492-nucleotide ribosomal RNA is filed under the name uncultured bacterium. RNAcentral's name for it is "partial 16S ribosomal RNA". It matches the Rfam family "Bacterial small subunit ribosomal RNA", at positions 29 to 507 of the family's 1533-position model. The record is from RNAcentral.